This is a long non-coding RNA of Brassica napus (rape), 1377 nucleotides long. RefSeq lists it as uncharacterized. NCBI's taxonomy places the organism in Eukaryota, Viridiplantae, Streptophyta, Magnoliopsida, Brassicales, Brassicaceae. The record is from RefSeq and is a predicted model, not a curated record. The transcript has 2 exons.
UUCAAAAGAAAAUGAUGGAAAAAUUUAACAUAUAGAAUUUGAAAAUUGCUUGAGAUAGAAGUUAAUGGAUAAUUAUACGGUAGCCACGAGACGACGACUACGACAAUCAUGCGAUAUGAGAUAAAGAUCUUUAGAUGCAUCUCUGAAAACUUAUAAUAUUAGUGGUAUGCUGCCUUUUUAUUCUUUUGUUAUAGUCCAUUGUAUGUUUUAGAUCUUUUGUAUAUGUUAAUUGGUUUUUUUUUUCAACAUUGGGUUUUCAUCUUGUGUCCUUUGAAAGGGAUUUACCUAUCUGCAGUUCUGAAAACUCUUUUUCUAAAACAAUGGAAUUGCUGCAGAAGAUAUUUUUUUCAACUUUAUUAGUUGAUAAAUAUGAUGGAUGAAGAAUAUAAAUUGUUAUCAAUGUAACAAGAAGCCAAGAAUCAAAUAGUAGGGUACGUAGUGAUGGCGUUUUGAAACGCCAAAAUUGAAGUAGUUGGACAAGUGCAAUAAGUAUAUAUUACCAUUAUGGGUUCAGCCUAUACAUGUCAAGAAAACUGAAGUAAUUGUAAAUGUAGCUACAAUAAAAAUGGUUGAAAUGUCAAUCCAAAGAAGUAUCGAGCAGGGGUGAAGCUAGCUUGAAGGGUAAGAGCAUGAUUAUCGCAAGCUCCUAAGUAGGCUUUUAAGGUAAUUAAUAAUUAAAAACAAAAGAAAAAUAGGUAUUAACCUAAGAGACGUAUCCUAAUCAAGGAUCGGAAGAAACGUUUCUUAUCCUUCCAUCUCCUCUCCUCUCUCUCCAAUCCACCUUUGUAACUGAGAUCCACAGAGAGCUGUCCGGAUGCUGAAACAGAGCACAAGGAAGGUGAGACUUUGGAGUCAGAUGAGAUCAGUGAGGAAGUGUAUCUUCCGUUGAAAGAAUCAAUAGGACAUACUGAAGUUGAAGUGAUAGCAGGAGCUUUGUUCGGUAAGAGGUCCAAAUCGAUCUACUCAAAGAGUCUGUGUAUCUGGGAGAGGAGGAGAGAGAUGCAAGUACUUGCGCGGAAUCUAGCUCAAAGAGUCUCAAGAAGCCAGGAAGAACUGGUGCGUUGCUUAGAAAGGGACGGCUUCAAGUCGAUUCAAGACGCAAUUGGUGCAGAUCACAGAUGAUGAUCAAACACGAACAAGAACAAACUACAGAGGGGAGAGUCCUUUUCUUACAACAAAAACAAAAGAGAUGUAUUUAAAAGUUUCACUGAUUCAGUUGUUUUUUUCUGCCUAAACAAUAACAUGAUGGCUUUUGUCCUCUUUACUCUUUGCAUUAUGGGAAAUAACUAAGCAACUAUGACACCAAACACCAAGUAACUUCACAACACAAGAUUUAUAAUCUCUUUCUAUUCAAAGUCCAUAUAAAGUUUCACAACA